Long non-coding RNA from Cucurbita moschata (crookneck pumpkin), 634 nucleotides. RefSeq lists it as uncharacterized. Lineage: Eukaryota; Viridiplantae; Streptophyta; Magnoliopsida; Cucurbitales; Cucurbitaceae. The transcript has 3 exons. The record is from RefSeq and is a predicted model, not a curated record.
AGCGCUUAUCGGCAAUGUUGGGGUCGAACGAUUCAGGAAGGGAGAACGCCGACGGUUAUGGUCGAGGGAAGUUGAUGAGUCCUCGUGAAGAAGAAGACAUGGGGUGCUGAGAGGACAGAAAAAUAAAGAAGAAGGUGGGAAGAAGAGGUCGAAAAUCCUGGGGCACAACCUGACCCGACCCGUUGGACUGACCUGACCAGACUCACUUGUACAAAAUCAAAACCCAAAUUUUUCCUUUCAUUUCACCCCAUUUGAUUCGUUUUUGUUCAGAUUUAGGUACUUGACUCACACAUUCCAUAAUGCCUUAUUUAUAGGAAAAUUCCCAAUUAGCUUAGUCAAGUGGACACUUGAAGACUCGAUAAACUUUCAGGAAGUCUACGAUCAGGUGAAAAGUAGAUCUGGAUCGGUGGCGGUAACGUGUGGAGGCAUGCAACUGUAGAAGGGGCCCUUAGAUUGAGUCCUCUUCUCCCAUGUCGUUUUGGUUAUGAUUUUCAUGUUUUUGGAAAAACACGCGAUAUUUUGCAACCGUUUCCUUUUGAUGUGACUCUACAGGUUCUCGUUAUGUGUUUUGUAGUAAUUUUGAUAUUUUGAAAUGUAUAUCAGACUACUUUUAACUUUUAGUCCCCUGUUCAAA